Molecule: long non-coding RNA, 296 nt
Filed under: Rattus norvegicus (Norway rat)
Lineage: Eukaryota; Metazoa; Chordata; Mammalia; Rodentia; Muridae
Description: long non-coding RNA NONRATT029271
Source: RNAcentral
GGCGGAAGGGGGUGCCCGAGAGAGGGGAACCCCGGAAAGAGUAAGGAAAGGGAAUGCUUUAAUAACUAUGCAAAUUUACAGCAAAAGCACGUUUCCAUUGCAAAACGCCAUAUCUGAAUGGGACGCACUUUGCUACACGGAGCGCAUACAUAGAGCUUGUUGAACGGCCUGACCCUUGCAUGAGAGAUCCGCAAUAUCGUUAUGGCAAGCAGUGUAUUUACUCACUCCCACAUAAAGCCAGUUGAUGCUUUCAGUUUUUAAUCCAAGUACUAAAAUAAAUACGUCUGUAUGUAUAC